CCCCGCCAGCGGCCUGGGCGCCCGCCCCUCACGCUUCUAGGGUAGCCGGCCGCGGGCGCCCGGGCGCCCGCGCGUCUGCCAGAGCGGCGAGCGCAGCCCCGACGCCGCGCCCACUGUCGGCGCGGCUCCGCCUCCGCCCCGUGAUUCCGCGCGGCCGGCUCCAGGGCGGGCGGAUGGGAGGGGGCCUGUGCGCGGGGGGCGCGCCAGGCUCCCUCUCUGAGCCGGCUGCCAGCUGCAGAUGGUGCGGGGGCUGGAGGAGGGGGCGCGGCUUUAGCCUCAGCUUCCCGAACAGGCCCCUGAGUGGGACCGGAAGCUGGGGCGGUCCUCCCGAGCCCGGGGUCACGGCCAAGGGGGCGGUGCCAGAGGAAGAUCCCUUUUUAGGGCUUGUUCUGGUAGUUUUCAACCUACUCUUUCAAAGGGACGUUUUCUGGAUGAAAACAGAAAGUUGCUCCACUGGCCAUGGGAAGCUCGCUCAGAGGAGAAAUGGGGCAAGACCCAGGAGUGCUGUAAUGAUGACGUUCCUUCACACCCGUCCCAGCAAUCCGACAUCCCUGAGGAAUGCGGGUAUCUAGUGCCCGGCUUCCUAACCUCCAGAGAAUGAAUCUGCCGGGAGGCAUAUAUCCUACGCUCUAUUUCAAGGUCGCUGCAGAAGAGUUCUGAUUGUCCGCAGCUGCAACUUACUCCUUUCUGCAUCUUCUCUUGUUAGGUUCCCUCCUUUUCCGGUUUACUAUCCCACCUGUCUUGGGGUCACUUUCGCAGUAAACCUCAAAUCGUUAUACCAGGACUACCUUUUUAGAGAACUCAGGCCAAAACGUUGUGGCUGCUUCUCUUCACAGCCAGUCAUCUUGAAAGUGAUACCUACUUUCAGCAUGCCUGGGUCCUUUCACCCUCCUGCACCACCCACUCUCCCCUACAGGCCCGCUACUCUCUCUGCUGUGAAUUUCAUUAGGAACUCCUGUAACCUCUGUAUUUGCAAAUACAGUAGAUACUUUUCUCCUUUUUUAUCCCCACCCAUAUUUUGUAGUGAACAUCAUUUUUGGUAUUGUUUUGUCCAGCAGCACCCCUUAUCCCCUUUUCUUAAUAAUAAAACUCAUCUUUCCCCU
Molecule: long non-coding RNA, 1103 nt
Filed under: Sus scrofa (pig)
Lineage: Eukaryota; Metazoa; Chordata; Mammalia; Artiodactyla; Suidae
Description: lncRNA (ENSSSCG00060057789.1)
Source: RNAcentral